Long non-coding RNA from Eriocheir sinensis (Chinese mitten crab), 1600 nucleotides. RefSeq lists it as uncharacterized. Lineage: Eukaryota; Metazoa; Arthropoda; Malacostraca; Decapoda; Varunidae. The transcript is spliced from 3 exons. The record is from RefSeq and is a predicted model, not a curated record.
GUAAGAAGGAAAGAGGGAAACGGAGGAGGUGUUUGGAUGCCCUGUGCGCGUUCCCGAGGCCCUUCGACUUUCCAUCCCAAAGACGAUAAACGCGGCGAGCAUCGCAUUCACUGCAUCUUUUAUUAAUUUCAUAAUCCAGUCUGGUAGUUUUAAGAAGCGAGUUCUUGCAUCCGGGGGGGGAUAAGGAGCGCCAGCGAGCCCAAGGUCUCCUGGCAAGAGGGGGAGUACUGGAGGGCUCCACGAAGGGCGCCUUGGCCCUUGGUGUCCCCCGGGGCGUCCGCGGAGGUGCCGGAGAUCUGUUCGGGUAGGUGGGGCUCGUUAGCCGUGGUAGGCAGUUCACCUAGGAGAGCCAACUCCGAACAACAAACCCGGGCAGAUGGGGCUCGUUAGCCGUGGUAGGCAGUCCAUCUAGGAGAGCAAACUCCGAACAAUAAACCCGGGCAGAUGGAGGUCGUUAGCGUGAGCAGUCCAUCUAGGAGAGCAAACUCUGAUUACAAACCCGGGCAGAUGGAGGUCGUUAGCCAUGGUAGGCAAUUCAUCUAGGAGAGGGACAACUCCGAACAACAAACACGGGCAGAUGGAGGUCGUUAGCCAUGGUAGGCAGUUCAUCUAGGAGAGGGACAACUCCGAACAACAAACACGGGCAGAUGGAGGUCGUUAGCCAUGGUAGGCAGUUCAUCUAGGAGAGGGACAACUCCGAACAACAAACACGGGCAGAUGGAGGUCGUUAGCCAUGGUAGGCAGUUCAUCUAGGAGAGGGACAACUCCGAACAACAAACACGGGCAGAUGGAGGUCGUUAGCCGUGGUAGGCAGUUCAUCUAGGAGAGGACAACUCCGAACAACAAACACGGGCAGAUGGAGGUCGUUAGCCGUGGUAGGCAGUUCAUCUAGGAGAGGGACAACUCCGAACAACAAACACGGGCAGAUGGAGGUCGUUAGCCGUGGUAGGCAGUUCAUCUAGGAGAGGGACAACUCCGAACAACAAACACGGGCAGAUGGAGGUCGUCAGCCAUGGUAGGCAGUUCAUCUAGGAGAGGGACAACUCCGAACAACAAACACGGACAGAUGGAGGUCGUUAGCCAUGGUAGGCAGUUCAUCUAGGAGAGGGACAACUCCGAACAACAAACACGGGCAGAUGGAGGUCGUUAGCCAUGGUAGGCAGUUCAUCUAGGAGAGGGACAACUCCGAACAACAAACCCGGCAGGUGGAAGUCGUUAGCGCGAGCAGUUCACCUAGGAGAGCAAACUCCGAUUACAAACCCGGCAGGUGGAGGUCGUUAGCGCGAGCAGUUCACCUAGGAGAGCAAACUCCGAUUACAAACCCGGCAGGUGGAGGUCGUUAGCGCGAGCAGUCCAUCUAGGAGAGGGACAACUCCGAACAACAAACCCGGCAGGUGGAGGUCGUCAGCGCGAGCAGUUCACCUAGGAGAGCAAACUCCGAUUACAAACCCGGCAGGUGGAGGUCGUUAGCGUGAGCAGUUCACCUAGGAGAAGGACAACUCUGAUCACAAACCCGGGGAGGUGGAGAUCGUUAGCCGCGAGGCAGUUCACCUAGGAGAGCAAACUCCGAUCACAAACCCGGGCAGGAGGGGGUCGUCAG